RNAcentral lists this ribosomal RNA (447 nucleotides) under uncultured bacterium. RNAcentral describes it as "bacterial SSU rRNA". It matches the Rfam family "Bacterial small subunit ribosomal RNA", at positions 355 to 825 of the family's 1533-position model. The record is from RNAcentral.
UGGGGAAUAUUGGACAAUGGGCGAAAGCCUGAUCCAGCCAUGCCGCGUGAGUGACGAAGGCCUUAGGGUUGUAAAACUCUUUCGUCGGGGACGAUAAUGACGGUACCCGAAGAAGAAGCUCUGGCUAACUUCGUGCCAGCAGCCGCGGUAAUACGAAGGGAGCUAGCGUUGUUCGGAAUCACUGGGCGUAAAGCGCACGUAGGCGGAUAGUUAAGUCAGGGGUGAAAUCCUGGGGCUCAACCCCAGAACUGCCUUUGAUACUGGCUGUCUCGAGGUCGAGAGAGGUUGGUGGAAUUCCUAGUGUAGAGGUGAAAUUCGUAGAUAUUAGGAAGAACACCAGUGGCGAAGGCGGCCAACUGGCUCGAUACUGACGCUGAGGUGCGAAAGCGUGGGGAGCAAACAGGAUUAGAUACCCCCGUAGUCCCUGAGCGGGCUGGCAAGGCGCAU